GAUGAACGCUAGCGGGAGGCUUAACACAUGCAAGCCGAGGGAGAAGUUGCUUUCGGACAACGGAGACCGGCGGACGGGCGAGUAACAUGUAUGCAACUUGCCUCUCUUAGUGGGAUAACUAGCGGCAACCAGGACUAAUACCGCAUAACAAAUGGCUCCGCAUUGAUUUAUUUUAAUAGAUUUAUCGGACAGAGAUAGGCAUGCGUAGGAUUAGUUAGUUGGUGAGGUAACGGCUCACCUAGACGAUGAUUCUUAGGGGGCCUGAGAGUGUGAUCCCCCACACGGGGACUGAGACACUGACCAGACUCCUACGGGAGGCAGCAGUGAGGAAGGUAGGACUGUGGAAUAGAGCCUGAUCCAGCCAACCCGCGUGCAGGAAGACGGCCCUAUGGGUUGUAAACUGCUUUUAUACAGGAAUAAACCUACGCGCGUGUGAGUAGUUGAAGGUACUGUAAGAAGAAGCAUCGGCUAACUCCGUG
Molecule: ribosomal RNA, 479 nt
Filed under: uncultured bacterium
Lineage: Bacteria
Description: partial 16S ribosomal RNA
Rfam family: Bacterial small subunit ribosomal RNA
Source: RNAcentral